AUUGAACGCUGGCGGCAGGCCUAACACAUGCAAGUCGAGCGGAUGAAGGGAGCUUGCUCCUGGAUUCAGCGGCGGACGGGUGAGUAAUGCCUAGGAAUCUGCCUGGUAGUGGGGGAUAACGUCCGGAAACGGGCGCUAAUACCGCAUACGUCCUGAGGGAGAAAGUGGGGGAUCUUCGGACCUCACGCUAUCAGAUGAGCCUAGGUCGGAUUAGCUAGUUGGUGGGGUAAAGGCCUACCAAGGCGACGAUCCGUAACUGGUCUGAGAGGAUGAUCAGUCACACUGGAACUGAGACACGGUCCAGACUCCUACGGGAGGCAGCAGUGGGGAAUAUUGGACAAUGGGCGAAAGCCUGAUCCAGCCAUGCCGCGUGUGUGAAGAAGGUCUUCGGAUUGUAAAGCACUUUAAGUUGGGAGGAAGGGCAGUAAGUUAACGCCUUGCUGUUUUGACGUUACCAACAGAAUAAGCACCGGCUAACUUCGUG
This 484-nucleotide ribosomal RNA is filed under the name uncultured bacterium. Its description in RNAcentral is "partial 16S ribosomal RNA". It matches the Rfam family "Bacterial small subunit ribosomal RNA", at positions 30 to 507 of the family's 1533-position model. The record is from RNAcentral.